Molecule: transfer RNA, 72 nt
Filed under: Ipomoea nil (Japanese morning glory)
Lineage: Eukaryota; Viridiplantae; Streptophyta; Magnoliopsida; Solanales; Convolvulaceae
Rfam family: tRNA
About the family: Transfer RNA (tRNA) molecules are approximately 80 nucleotides in length.
Source: Rfam by way of RNAcentral
GACGGCAUGGCCGAGUGGUAAUGCAGAGGACUGCAAAUCCUUUUUUCCCCAGUUCAAAUCCAGGUGUUGCCU